Molecule: small nuclear RNA, 267 nt
Filed under: Chinchilla lanigera (long-tailed chinchilla)
Lineage: Eukaryota; Metazoa; Chordata; Mammalia; Rodentia; Chinchillidae
Description: 7SK RNA (ENSCLAG00000022184.1)
Rfam family: 7SK RNA
About the family: 7SK was discovered as an abundant small nuclear RNA in the mid-70s but a possible function has only recently been suggested. Two independent studies have found that 7SK RNA binds the CDK9/cyclin T complex (known as elongation factor P-TEFb).
Source: RNAcentral
AGCUGCAAGGGUGAUCUGACUGCAAUGUCUGUCACGCCUUGGAGCACCGGGUUGAGUUGGUGGAUUUGGCUGGCUAGGUGUCCCCUUCUUCCUUUACUACUCCAUAUGCAUCUCUCCUGAUGCUGGGGUGAGAACCUUCCUCCACGGAGAAGGACCAUUCCUUGGUCAAGUGUAUAUGAGUAGCCAUGCUGCCCUGCUCGAACCUCCAAAAAAGGUUCUCAAAAUAGAAAUUUAUGUCCAAGUCAACCUUCCAGUUUGAUAGUCCUG